UACGAAGGGGGCUAGCGUUGCUCGGAAUCACUGGGCGUAAAGCGCACGUAGGCGGAUUGCUAAGUCGGAGGUGAAAUCCUGGAGCUCAACUCCAGAACUGCCUUCGAUACUGGCGACCUUGAGUCCGGGAGAGGUGAGUGGAACUCCGAGUGUAGAGGUGAAAUUCGUAGAUAUUCGGAAGAACACCAGUGGCGAAGGCGGCUCACUGGCCCGGUACUGACGCUGAGGUGCGAAAGCGUGGGGAGCAAACAG
Molecule: ribosomal RNA, 252 nt
Filed under: uncultured bacterium
Lineage: Bacteria
Description: partial 16S ribosomal RNA
Rfam family: Bacterial small subunit ribosomal RNA
Source: RNAcentral